Caenorhabditis elegans is the source of this 21-nucleotide non-coding RNA. The record is from Ensembl. Lineage: Eukaryota; Metazoa; Nematoda; Chromadorea; Rhabditida; Rhabditidae.
UGUUUGUUCCUACAACAAAAA